RNAcentral lists this long non-coding RNA (1151 nucleotides) under Sus scrofa (pig). Its description in RNAcentral is "lncRNA (ENSSSCG00035019974.1)". The record is from RNAcentral. Lineage: Eukaryota; Metazoa; Chordata; Mammalia; Artiodactyla; Suidae.
AUGAUUUUUUUACUUUUUAGUGGGGAUCAGGCUGAGGCACAGAAGGAGUAGGGACAGAUGCAGACAGCCCACAAGGAAAGAGCUCUUUCCAGCCGUACUGCUUUCCUGAGCCACCAGGUCCCGUGCCCCUUGACUACAUCUCACUGUGCCCCUGUAAACUGCGUGCUCCAGCUACAGAGAGUUAAUUUGGCCUCAACAGGGAGAGGAGGAGAACUUAAAGCAGGAGCUCUGAGAACUACCAAAUCUCGGCACUGUUCUCCAGUAUUGGUACCAAGUAGAGCAGCCAGGUCCUGUUGGGAGAGGUUGGUUUCCUGACAAGCUGGAUUAGGCGGAUAAUGACUGAAGAGGCUGUCCUGAGCUCAGAAUGGGCAGCUGGUGCUGGCUUGGGAGAACUUGGUGGAAGGAAAAUCCAAGGAGAGAGCUAAUCCAAAGUCAUUUCUUUUUAUUCCCUGGAUCACACAGCCCGGAACAUACAUCUGUGGCAACAUCAGGUGUAGCUGGACUUAAGAGCCAUCAUGGGCUGAGAGCACAAGUGCCCCACCUGGGUCUCCCCUGGAAAGAGUCAGCCUCACUGGUAAGUCUUUUGCUUCGUUUCUCUCUUGUGAAUACAUUUAAGAGUUUCUGAAUACAGAUAGUUCCCUUAAAUAGUCUUACACCGAGGUUAUAUAUGAACUCUUAUAUUUGUGUUGUAUACUUUGGUACAUCUUUUUCUUCUUUCCUUUUAUGAACUAUUUGUGUGAGUAUAAAUUCCAGCAUGUUCUCAAUCUGCUGGGUUUUUUUUUUUUGUUUUUUUUUUUUUUUGGUCUUUUUGUCUUUUGUUGUUGUUGUUGUUGUUGCUAUUUCUUGGGCCACUCCCGCGGCAUAUGGAGGUUCCCAGGCUAGGGGCCCAAUCAGAGCUGUAGCCACCGGCCUACACCAGAGCCACAGCAACGCGGGAUCUGAGCCGCGUCUGCAACCUACACCACAGCUCACGGCAACGCCGGAUCUUUAACCCACUGAGCAAGGGCAGGGACCGAACCCGCAACCUCAUGGUUCCUAGUCGGAUUCGUUAACCACUGCGCCACAACAGGAACUCCUCAAUCUGUGGUUUUUAAACUGGAGUUCAUAUUUCAUAAAAUAAAAUUCUCAUGAAGAUUUUCUGCUUCUUUAUU